This 524-nucleotide ribosomal RNA is filed under the name uncultured bacterium. RNAcentral describes it as "partial 16S ribosomal RNA". It matches the Rfam family "Bacterial small subunit ribosomal RNA", at positions 28 to 523 of the family's 1533-position model. The record is from RNAcentral.
GACGAACGCUGGCGGCGUGCCUAAUACAUGCAAGUCGAGCGCAGGAAACUGACGGAACUCUUCGGAGGGAAGGCAGUGGAAUGAGCGGCGGACGGGUGAGUAACACGUAAGGAACCUGCCUCAAGGAUUGGGAUAACUCCGAGAAAUCGGAGCUAAUACCGGAUAGUUCAACGGACCGCAUGGUCCGCUGAUGAAAGGCGCUUCGGCGUCACCUUGAGAUGGCCUUGCGGUGCAUUAGCUAGUUGGUGGGGUAACGGCCCACCAAGGCGACGAUGAAUAGCCGACCUGAGAGGGUGAUCGGCCACACUGGGACUGAGACACGGCCCAGACUCCUACGGGAGGCAGCAGUAGGGAAUCUUCCACAAUGGACGAAAGUCUGAUGGAGCAACGCCGCGUGAGUGAUGAAGGUUUUCGGAUCGUAAAACUCUGUUGUAAGGGAAGAACACGUACGAGAGGGAAUGCUCGUACCUUGACGGUACCUUACGAGAAAGCCACGGCUAACUACGUGCCAGCCGCCGCGGUAA